GGGGAGCAGUGUCGGAUCAUGGGCGUAAGAGCUCGUAGGCGGCUUGUCACGUCGGAUGUGAAAGCCCGGGGCUUAACCCCGGGUCUGCAUUCGAUACGGGCUAGCUAGAGUGUGGUAGGGGAGAUCGGAAUUCCUGGUGUAGCGGUGAAAUGCGCAGAUAUCAGGAGGAACACCGGUGGCGAAGGCGGAUCUCUGGGCCAUUACUGACGCUGAGGAGCGAAAGCGUGGGGAGCGAACAGGAUUAGAUACCCUGGUAGUCCACGCCGUAAACGUUGGGAACUAGGUGUUGGCGACAUUCCACGUCGUCGGUGCCGCAACUAACGCAUUAAGUUCCCCGCCUGGAGAGUACGGCCGCAAGGCUGAAAGUCAAAGGAAUUGACGGGGACCCUCCUAAGCAGCGGAGAAGCCAGCUUAAUUCGACCCGACGAGAAAACGCCUGCGAACGACUGGCAUAUCGCGCAAAACGGUGAGAAAAGCGUCGCUACAUGUUUACAGAGCAAUGUCAGAGCCAAUGAUAGGAUAUUCACUUAGCCGUCAAAUUAAAACCAACGUCCGUUGGCUGCAUGCGGGGGUUCCCGUCAAUUCCUUAUAGGUUAAAGCCAAUGCGGGGAAAAAUCCACAAUCGUGGUGAUUAAUUGCAUAAGCUGAUAAAACCGACAAAAGUUAUAGGUCGCCAUACCGGAAUUUCCCAGAUAUUAAUGAUGGUGAACCCCGCAUAUGUAGAUCGAAUAGAUCAAAAGGAUUUCGGACCUAACCACUCAGUAAAGCCAAGAAAAGAAGGCGUUGGACAAUGUUUUUAAACUGCGAUAUCGAGGCUUAUCAUGUAAAUUCAAGGAUUUUGUACCUCCGGUCCCAAAGUUAUAAAUUACUGAAUAUGAAGGGAACCCGGGAAGGAAAUUCAGGCGUUCUGUAAAUAAAGGAAAUGUGAAAAACUAAUUAGCGUGUUGAAAUUCCGAAAUAGACCGAAACGAUCCUUCUCAGGGUGAGGUAAAAAAAAGUUCNNGGUCCCCCCCGGCGUAAUACUAAGUAUUAGGUUACUCGCUGAACAGGGAUAGUGUAUGCGGAGAAGCCGCCAAAGAUUCGGUAAAUAUGUACUACCCGAAAUGUCGAAUACCCUCAAAUACAUGGUGAAAUAUUCCCGUUGAAACCUUCGCGUAAGAAAAAUCUGUACAAUAGUUUUAAUCGUAGUGCGAUUAAAUUGCAUAACUUUUAAUAUCGCCUUGCUAAAGAAUUUUAAUUCCCCAGGGAUGUGCGUUCUAAAAUAUAGUUGGACAAAUAUCGAGUAUACUCUGUAUGCUCAUUUUAACACCGGAGUUAC
This 1318-nucleotide ribosomal RNA is filed under the name Streptomyces melanogenes. RNAcentral describes it as "bacterial SSU rRNA". The stretch from base 1 to 642 matches the Rfam family "Bacterial small subunit ribosomal RNA", at positions 533 to 1533 of the family's 1533-position model. The record is from RNAcentral. Lineage: Bacteria; Bacillati; Actinomycetota; Actinomycetes; Kitasatosporales; Streptomycetaceae.